AUAUGGUUAAGUUUGGUUAUCCUGCAUGCUUAAGUUGAUUAUAGUAUUUGGUUAACUAAGUUGCUGCUUCUUUUUUCGCAGCAAGCUGUCCGCGCGCAGAGGCAGCGGUUGGCGAGUGGUUCUUCUUGUCCGACGAAACAAGUAGAGGUUGUGUGUCUCGGGAGUAUGAGGUACCCUUGUACUUCCGCGUGGGCUCUAGCCUCCGACGGUUCUCCUCCACCUAUAUCCAAUUUAUGUUGUACCUUGAAGCGGUGGAUCUCGGGAAGCCCAGUACCAUCUUGAGCACAGCGGUGACGGAGGCCAUGGCUCCUAGCUCGAGAAGGUGGCAGCGCCCAAUGCCCAUGACUCCCACCUUGAUGCGCCACCCCUGGUGUUCCGUUGUUGAAUACUUCCAGCGGAAGACGGCGGCCUCCCACCCCGCCUCCGUGAUUUGUAGCCUUAGUGGUUUUUUUCUUCAUCAACAUGCCAUUAGUGCUUCAUUAGUGGGCCACAGGUUUAUUAAGUUGUUUCAUUAACAUGUGCGAGUUGGCUUCUGAAAAAUUACUAGAUUGCUUCUACAUGCUAGUUAUGCUUUCUAGUUUAUUAUUCACAUUCUUGCUAAACUUUUCCCCCCUCAAAUAAACUGAAUAAUUAUAUAUGCCUUCUAAUAUUUUCCACAAGUUGGUUAUCGAAAGAGUUGCAUUCCCCCUAGUUGUCAUGUAUUAAAUGAGGUUUCAUUAAUAUGUGUAAGUUGGCUACUGAAAAAAGGCAAAUUGAUUUUUUAAGCAUGCUAAAGUUGCCUACUAAAAUUAUUAAGUUGCGUCCACAUGCUAGUUGUUUAUCAGUUUCUUAUUCACAUUAUGGCUACUUUGUUUCCCUUAAACAAAUUAUAUAAGCUGGAUUCUGGCAGAAACUAAGUUGCCUACCAAAGGUAUUAAGUUGCAUCCCCCUAGUUGUCAUGUAUUUGAGGUUUCAAUAAGUUGUUUUCAUUAAUAUGUUUUCUAGAGUUUGAGAUGAUGCAGACCUUAGUGGGGUGAUCCCGCACAUAGUUGUUUUCCUGUGUGAAACACGUUUGUGGAUUUCUAUGUAUAUCCAUGUAUUCAUGGAUGAAGAAGAAAAGUAGUAGCUGGUGGACCUGGCCCCUGGGAGCGAAAGAAGACUGGAGCAGUUCCCUGAUCGCUUUGUUACGCGUACAGCACGCGUCCGUUGGGAACCCCAAGAGUAAGGUGUGAUGCGUACAGCGGCAAGUUUUCCCUCAGUAAGAAACCAAGGUUUAUCGAACCAGUAGGAGCCAAGAAGCACGUUGAAGGUUGAUGGCGGCGGAGUGUAGUGCGGCGCAACACCAGGGAUUCCGGCGCCAACGUGGAACCUGCACAACACAACCAAAUUACUUUGCCCCAACGUGACAGUGAGGUUGUCAAUCUCACCGGCUUGCUGUAACAAAGGAUUAGAUGUAUAGUGUGGAUGAUGAUGUUUGCAGAGA
Molecule: non-coding RNA, 1462 nt
Organism: Lolium perenne
Lineage: Eukaryota; Viridiplantae; Streptophyta; Magnoliopsida; Poales; Poaceae
Source: RefSeq, a predicted model, not a curated record